GAUGAACGCUGGCGGCGUGCCUAAUACAUGCAAGUCGAGCGAACGGACGAGAAGCUUGCUUUUCUGAUGUUAGCGGCGGACGGGUGAGUAACACGUGGAUAACCUACCUAUAAGACUGGGAUAACUUCGGGAAACCGGAGCUAAUACCGGAUAAUAUUUUGAACCGCAUGGUUCAAAAGUGAAAGACGGUCUUGCUGUCACUUAAAGAUGGAUCCGCGCUGCAUUAGCUAGUUGGUAAGGUAACGGCUUACCAAGGCAACGAUGCAUAGCCGACCUGAGAGGGUGAUCGGCCACACUGGAACUGAGACACGGUCCAGACUCCUACGGGAGGCAGCAGUAGGGAAUCUUCCGCAAUGGGCGAAAGCCUGACGGAGCGACGCCGCGUGAGUGAUGAAGGUCUUCGGAUCGUAAAACUCUGUUAUUAGGGAAGAACAUAUGUGUAAGUAACUGUGCACAUCUUGACGGUACCUAAUCAGAAAGCCACGGCUAACUACGUG
Molecule: ribosomal RNA, 497 nt
Filed under: uncultured bacterium
Lineage: Bacteria
Description: partial 16S ribosomal RNA
Rfam family: Bacterial small subunit ribosomal RNA
Source: RNAcentral